CUGGGAAAGCACAUGCUCUCGUGCGAGCUACACAAUGUAAGCACUUACUUGUGUUUGUCUUGUGCUUUGGCUGAUUCGACUGCCGGUGGACCUUCAUGCAUUCUUCCUCUUGUCGUGUGCUCUGGAGACCCUGUCUGCUGCUGAGUCUCUCCCAGGGCCCCACAGAUGCAGCCGUUCCAAUGAGAUUGUGAGGCAUGUGCAUAAACUCAAGGAUCAGAAGUAAAAUCAAAGAGACAGCCCUACUCCAAACCACCUGCCUGUUCAGGGUCCUUCCAGUUGUUAUUCUUCUCUGUCUUCCUUGAACUUGUCAUCUGGCUUUCCUAGGAAGGAGAGUAUGGCCAUCCAUCAGUGCCCUGGGCCGGCCCAUUCCUUGGACCAAAUCCUACCAGCAAGCAGAAGAAUGGCAGCUGCUACCCAGCUCACCCCACAGGCAGGGCCUGUGUCAUGGAGCUCAAGAACCAGGAGUUCUCAGUAACACAAUGGAAAUGAUGGUACCCAGCUCACCGGCUCUGAUUCUCUCUUAAUUUCCAAUACAACCAGAAUCUGGGGAUGGGAAAGGAGGAAACAGAAGAGGAAGGGCUAAGGAUGAAGCUAAGGAAAUAGGAUUUCCCCUUUCCCUAGGGAUGCCAUCAACUGUGUCUCCAGGAGAUUUAAAGGGCAGGGAACAUCACACACCGGGGCUUGUUGUGGGGUGGGG
This 697-nucleotide long non-coding RNA is filed under the name Homo sapiens (human). RNAcentral's name for it is "HSALNT0201020". Lineage: Eukaryota; Metazoa; Chordata; Mammalia; Primates; Hominidae. The record is from RNAcentral.